GCACCCUGGAGGCGCGGGAGAUGCAGCGGUGGCCGCCCGUGGGGCCAGCAGGGUCUCUGAGAUGGAAGGAGGAACUCACGGAAGGGGAAGAGAAGCUGGAAUGUCUCACACCGAAAAGUAGCAACAGUGUAGGAAGAAACGGUCCUUUACGGGAGACUAAAAGAAGAAAUGACUCGCGGAAGGUUACUGCAACCCCUUCUCGCCAGAUGCCGCACACGCGGGGCGGAGGCAACUGGGCAGGGCAUCGUGCCCCCUCCCCCGCGCGCCUUAUAUGGGUGGAGCGCGCGCCAGGGGGCGGGGUUCAUCUGGCUGGCGCUCGCGUCCCUAGGGGGCCGGGCGCCUCUGUGUUGGAGGCGGGUUUGCGGUGAAAACGUGGAAAAGGCGUGAGUUGUGGGGGACUGGUUGGAGAUUUCAUCUUUGUCAUAUCAUAUCUAUGUAGGCAUCUUAAAUUUUCCUGAAUGAGCAUGGAAAAAUCGAAGUCCUCAAAGGGAAAGUAGGGUGAACAGGGGAACUGACGCGGCCUAGUGUCGCCUGGAGUGCUGCGCUAACCGCUGGGAAGAAGCAAGGCUGAGCAGUUGGCAGGUUUGCUUUGCUCCCCGCCUGCCCUCCCAGCCUGUCCCUGAAGCUGUUUCCUUCCACUCGACGCAGUACAUUUCCCGGCGCCGCCCCCGAGGGUCCGGGCGGAGAGGGCGGGUCCACCCACUCCUCCCCGGCGUACUCUGGCCCGCCCCACCGGCCACGACGCGUGGCUGUACCGCUGUAGGACCCGGGGCCUCUUGGUGCUCCACACAGGCACGUUGGCUCAGAUUUACGCCACAACUGCAAAAAUAACUCGGAAAUGCUAAACUACAGUGCCUUGUUUUGUUACAAGUUUUAGGCGACUCGGACUCUUCAGCAGUAGCUGCGAAUAUAUAAUUAUGCUUUAUAGUUUCAGCGCUAUAAUAAAAUGAGUUUAAAUCAUUUUACUUCUCAGUUAAAAUGAGCAGUUGUUAGUCUGAAGGAUGGGUGGUUCCUGAUACGGUAUUAAGGACCUGGCUCUUAACCGAAUUUAUUUUAGAGACUCAACAGAUUUUAAGAAGACCCUAGUAACGCAAUUCUACAGGGGCUUAAUGAGAAACAUCUAUACUGGACUAUCAAAUUCACUUUUCUAUUUUGUUCUCAGUUAUUUGAUAGUAAAAGAGCCAUCCUCUUUACAAGAACUAUUGAGGUUAAUGUUUUGGCCUUUGUAAUAUAAGAAUUAAAACAAAAAAAAAAAUCUGGACAAUUCAACAUGUUCAACAAAGAAGUGAUUUUUAAAUGAUAUUACCUUAAAUACAGACAAAUUGGAAGAUUUAGUCUUCAAGCCUUGUCUAAGUGUCUGAAGAAAUUUUGCUGCUAAAACUAAAGACUUCCUGCCACUUUUGGCAGUAAUUUGGUUUAACUUGUUUUCAAGCACCCCAAAACUCCAUACAGUGUAAAGUUAUGAGCAGAAUUUAAAAUGAGGAUUUCUUAAGAAAAGAGUUGGGUGUGCUUAGUCUGGAGAUGUCAGCUCUGCUGCUGAAUGUAAACUAGGCAAGUUAUUACUUAACUGCAUUAUUUCUUCUAGCGUCUCUUCUACCUGUCCUGUAGAUGUGUUCAAGAAAAACAUGAUAAUUUAUGUGGAAUUGCUUUAAAACAAAAACACUACAUACAUUUUUAUAUUUAUAGUUAGAGUGAAUGAUUCCAUUGGCAAACUUGCCAGUAAACUGAUUAAACUAAUUGGGGCAUACCAAGAGACUGUUUAGGUGACUAGUAACAGGACUAAGGGGUACUAUUUCUAUGUAUGGAAAAGAUCUUUGGAGUUCUUAAAGUAUUCUUAACCUCCAAAUCCUUGGAAUUAUAUAGGCAUCAUUUGAAGAGUGAAAAUAAAAACGAUUACUGGUCCAUACAGGUUGAAUUUUGAAAAGUAUUUGCUUUUUUGUCUAAAUAUUUUACAUUUGUUUAAAAGCCCUGAAAAUCUUUUCAGUUAACUUUUCUAGAUUUUUAUCAAGAAAGAUAGUAUUCAAGAACUUAGUACACUCGUCAAAGGAAAUAAAAAGGCUAAGAACUCUGUGAGAUAAACCUAGAGUGUUCUAAAGAUACCUUAUUGGGCUUUGGUAAAGAUCAGUAAGUUAAAGUACAUCUCCUAUAAACUACAGGAUACUUUUGGCUAUUGGAUUAUAAGCUAACAUCCAAAGUUCUUCCCCAUAAAUUUAAAUAAUGGGAAAUAAUAUAAUUUUAGUGCAUUGUAAAUGUCAUUUUAUAAAAUCUCUCACUUUUAAGGGUAUGCAAUGAAAUUAAAUUUCACUAUUUUGAUACCCAUCAUCUAUUUAUUAAAAAGUGAACUAUUUAAUAGUCAAAGUUUCACAUUGUAUUGCUGUUCUAUCCCCUUAGCAGUGGUUCUCAGGUAGGGGCUGUUGCUUCCCAAGGGAUAUUUGGCAGUAUCUGGAGACACUUUGGUUGUCACUAGGGUAUGAGGGCUACUGGCAUCUAGUGAAAAGAGUCCAUCCUACAUUGCACAAGGCAACCUCCAGCAAAGAAUUAAUCAGCCCAAAAUGUCAAUAGUGCUGUGCUAUUGAGAAACUCUCACCUACGGAAAUCUAUUCAUGUAAUGUGGUUUUAGGCAUGAAAGUCUUAUUGGUUAUCACUUUCUUGCAGAAAAAAAGGUGUAUAUUUAAAUUUAUUGCAUAUCUUGUGAUCAUAAUGUUAUAAAAGUUAAGUCUGAACUGAUCAAAAUAUAAAUCACAAUUAUGAAUUAUAAAAA
Long non-coding RNA from Pteropus alecto (black flying fox), 2761 nucleotides. RefSeq lists it as uncharacterized. The transcript is spliced from 2 exons. The record is from RefSeq and is a predicted model, not a curated record. Lineage: Eukaryota; Metazoa; Chordata; Mammalia; Chiroptera; Pteropodidae.